GGAGAGAUGGCCGAGCGGCUGAAGGCGCACGCCUGGAAAGUGUGUAUACGUUAAAAGCGUAUCGAGGGUUCGAAUCCCUCUCUCUCCGCCA
This 91-nucleotide transfer RNA is filed under the name Gammaproteobacteria bacterium RIFCSPLOWO2_02_FULL_56_15. RNAcentral describes it as "tRNA-Ser". It matches the Rfam family "tRNA". Rfam says of the family: Transfer RNA (tRNA) molecules are approximately 80 nucleotides in length. The record is from RNAcentral. Lineage: Bacteria; Pseudomonadati; Pseudomonadota; Gammaproteobacteria.